AUGAAAAAUCCUCUGAAGGGAUGGUCACGUAGCUGGAGGUCUAGAAUCUGGUGUUCUCGCAGCUUUGAGAAGAUAGGAACCAGUGAGAUAACAGGAUGCCAUUUGGGCAAUUUGGUCAGUCUCAACGAUCACUGUGAUUUAUUCUUUGUUUGCGAGGUCGACAUAACGAGCCAUCUUAUCAGUGAGACCCCAUGUGGACCCGAUCAGAAACAACCCACUCCAGUAUUCUUGCCUGGGAAAUCCCAUGAACAGAAAAGCCUCGAGCGCUACACUUCACGGGGUUGCAAGAGACUUGGACAUGACCGAGCAGCUAAGCACGCACAAGCACAGCUAGGAGUGGCUUUCAGUCCAGGAGCAGGAAGCUCAUGGAAGACUGGCUGGGUGCCGUGUGGUUUGCACGCUCCUGGUUUUAGGGCUUUGGACCUGAGCUGAAUUACACCGUGGGCUUUCCUCAUUCUCCAGCUUGCAGACAUCAGACUGUGAGACUUCCUGACCUCUGUAAGCAUGGGAGCCAGUUCCUAGAAUAAAUCUCCCCUCCUCUCUCCCUCUCUCUCUGUUCGUAUGUAUAUCUCUUGGUUUAUUCUCCAGAGAACCCCAGUGAUUAUGUGAGCUGUACACUCACUCCAGGCUAGAGAUGAAAUCUAGCAAAUGGAAUCUAAAAUGCUGGUCUUUUAAUGAUCUUCAGAGAUGACGUGGCUGAACCCAUUAGUGGGGAGUAGAGGAGGGUGAGGAGAAAUAACAUGGACCUGAGCUCAUCUGGACUAGAGCUGAUUGGAGCCUGAGUUUCCGAAGCACCACAGACCUGACCCCAGCGCCUGUGACGCCCGUCCCUCCAGGACCCACAUGACUGACAUCGCCACUUGGUGCAGGUGCCAACAAAGGAUGCGGGCAUCACCUGCGGGGGGUCAUCGUCACGCUGGUGUUUCCAGGGCCAGAGUUAGCAAAUGCCACGGUGAUAAUGUGCUGAUGGCUGCUUCCCCACGCCCCUGGCUUCAGGUUGGAGUGUGGGGCCAAGAGAAACAAACAAUUUGUUAGGAGCCAGGGAGAUGGCUGGGCAGGAAUGAGCUAUCUGUAAGCUGCCUUUGGUCUCUUCCCAGCUGGUCCCCCUCUUUUUAGUUGAUCAAUUAUUUAAACAAUUUACUUGGCUGCACCGGUCUUAGUUGGGGCAUGCAGGAUCUUUGGCUGUGGCAUGUGAACUCUUAGUUUGGCAUAGGGGAUCCAGUUCCCUGAUCAGGUCUCAAACCCAGGCCCCCUGCAUUGGAACCACAGAGCCUUAGCCGCUGGACUGUGAGGGAAGUCUCUGGGUGCCCAUUGGAAAUAGGUGGGUAAUGGGCUUGGCCUCCCUGGAGUCCCUGGCUCCUGCAGUGGUCCCUGCAUGGAAGGCACUUCAGUGGUCUCCGGGGGGAGGGGUCUUCCCAGGGGUCCCAGGAGCAGCACUGUGAGGUGCACAGGCGUGCCUCUGUGUGUCCCUUGACCUUCCCUGGUGUGAGGCAAGGCAAGGAGAGGAAAGACAGGCUUAGGCUUUGGGAGCUGGAAUUUGCCCCUGGCCUUUAGUUGGUGUGUGAAGUCAUUGGGCUUUGAUAAGCCUUGGUUUUGUCCUCUGUGUCGCCUGAGAAAUGGGGAUGGUAUUUGCCGGAGGUCUGAAGUCAAGACAUCAGCAGGGUUCAUCUCUCCUGAUACUACUCUCCUUGGCUUGGAGGUGGCUGCCGUCUCUCCCUGCCUCGACUUGGUUUCUCCUCUGUGCUUGAGGACCACUGGGGUCUCUCUGUGUUCAAAUUCCACCUUCUUUACACAGGUCAGAUUGGAUUAGGGCUCACCUGUAGACCUGACUUCAUUUUAACUUCUUUUAAGUUAAAGAAGUUAGCUUUAAAGACUGUCUCCAAACACAGUCAGAGGUCAUGGGGCUUAGGGUUUUGACAUAUGAAUGUUGCGGCGGGGGCUGGAAUUCAGUCCAUAGGGCUUCCCUGGUAGCUCAGCUGCCAGUGCAGGAAACACAAGAUUUGACCUCUGGGUUGGGAACAUCCUUUGGAGAAAGAAAUGGCAGUAUACAGCUCCAGUAUUCCUGCCUGGAAAAUUCCAUGGAUAGAGAAGCCCGGCAGGCUAUAGCUCACGAGGUCACAAAGAUAAGGCUGUCCCACACAAAUCACAAAGCCAAGCAUAGUCCUGGGCCUGAAGAUCCUGCGACACUCCCGGUGAGGGAGGUGGGCCUGGCUUGGCAGGCUGGUCAGAUACCAGGCUGCACAGUAACAUUCUCACACUGCAGGUCUCCCUGCUCAAGCUGAAGCUGGGAUGCAUCUGAGCACUGAGGCCCGGGUCCCAAAUGCACAGUCAAGUUGUACAAUGACUGAAGCCCAGCUGGAAAGCCAUCUCCAUACCUAAACUGUACAGAAUUUGGAGGGCAAAGAAAAUCUUGUAACUUAACAAGAAAACAAAACAGUUUCUCCUUUAUGUUUGGUGAUGUUAGAGGGAAAUUUUCUUUUUUGUUCAAGCUAAAGCCUGGCUUGGAGAAUUUGAGCAUUAGUUUUACUAGCAUGUGAGAUGAGUGCA
This 2547-nucleotide long non-coding RNA is filed under the name Ovis aries (sheep). Its description in RNAcentral is "lncRNA (ENSOARG00000025792.1)". The record is from RNAcentral. Lineage: Eukaryota; Metazoa; Chordata; Mammalia; Artiodactyla; Bovidae.